Molecule: long non-coding RNA, 1759 nt
Filed under: Lupinus angustifolius (narrow-leaved blue lupine)
Lineage: Eukaryota; Viridiplantae; Streptophyta; Magnoliopsida; Fabales; Fabaceae
Description: long non-coding RNA (LANG_LNC003074)
Source: RNAcentral
CCCUCUAAACUGUGAGUACAUUUUGAGACCCUUAUAUCAUAUUCUAAAACCACUGUGUCACGAUGCUUCUCCCUCACCUUAAAGUGUCGAUGUAGUCCUUAAGCUUAUGAUCUGUCUGUUCUCUCGUUCGUACAAUGUUUCACUCCGUCUUUUAUAUCCUCACAUGAAAAACCAAUUUUUAUGUUAAAACAAUGUUGUUAUGCUAACAUGUUGUUAGCCAUGUUUUAUGGACUUAGGCGAUAUCUUAGCUUCUAGUUAUAGGUACUUAUGAAAAGUUAAUUAAUUUACAAAGCAAUUCCAUUUUAUAAAAUGACAUAGGGUUUUGACCAAACUAAUGAAAUGUCCAGAAUAUCAUAAACAUUCCUUAUAAAAAAAAUGAGGUCCUUACUAUGAAAAUUACAAAAAUACCCUUUAUAGGGACUGCUUCCAUAAGUUUAACCCAAACUAUCUGAAUUAUACUACAACCAUCGUUUUGGUUCGUGAAAUUGAAAAGUUCCAAAUAUAGACUACCCUUGAAAUAGUCUUAAGAGUUCAUAUAUAAUUUUUCAGAUUUUUCCAUUGAGUGUUACGAUUUUUAAGGCUAAUAUCACAAUAACAGUACCAUACAUUAAAAAAGGCAAAAUAACACUAUAGGUAUCUAAAUAUGCUUCAAAAUGAAACUUCAGGAGCAUAAACUCAUAUUUAUUUUUUAUAAAAGGUUCAUAUCCAAAAUCUAUCACCAUGAUGUUCUGUUAUCGAUUUAAUAGGAUUUGUGGUGUUUUUCCAUGAAAAUGAAAGAAUAAAGAAGGAAGUACAAAAAAUAAACCUUUUUUUAUCAACCUACCAUCAUCUUUUUAGGUUGCUGAAACUCUUAAGUUUUAAGUUCCAGAACCUACAUAGCUUCCUUCAUUUUUUCUAAAAUUCUAUUACUCAUUAAAAGCAUAAAAAAAUACAUUUUAACACUAAAAAUCACUUCUACUUACUUCCCUCUUUAGAUCCAACUUUGUCACUUCCAAAGGUGAAUUCUUUUUCCAGAACUAAAAGUCAUGGGGAAGACUCAAAAUUUAAUUGAACUACUAAAUUAUUUUAAGGUGCUUUUUAAAACAUUUAAGCAACUAAAUACAAGCUUUUAAGCUUCACAAAGCCAUUUAAGCAUGUCCCUAUGUUCCUCUCUCUUUAUCAACUUUAAGAGUGACUUAUAAGAGAUUCACAAUCAUGGGGUUUUACAAAUAUUUCACCUUUUAAAACAAAUGUGUGUUCUUGAAUGUAAGAGUACUUUAAGCAUAGUUUUUGCACAUCACAACUAUAAAACAACCAUACUUAAAACUCUUGGAAAAAAAAUGAACACCUUCCAACUAGUGGUAGGAUUUGGUUUUGACAAAAGCACAAGAAGAGGAAUAGUUGUUCAUGGAACUCUUGACUUAUCCUAGCUUACAAAGCUCACCAAGUUCUAAGUUCUUCAAGCUACCUCAACAUUUCCAUUAAACUACUCUAACCUCUUUUUAAAGCAUAAACGUGAAGAAUAUACAUAAAACAAUUAUUAAAAGAGAUGUAUGAGAUAGUAAAUAAGCUAAAGGUUCCAAAUAUGUAGUUACCUAAUGAAAAAGCCAAGAUCUUGAAGAGUUUUGUGUGAGUUGGAGUUGCAAAACCCCCUUCCUCACCCACUCAAGAAGCCACAUAGUUUGGAGAGAAUGAAGAGAGGGAUGAGAGCUUCUCUCUCUUCUUUGGUUGAAUGUGUGUAUGUGGGAAAUGUGAGUACCUUUAUGUUGUAUGCCUUAAU